UCCGGGGCUUAGUGCCGGAGCUAACGCAAUAAGCACUCCGCCUGGGGAGUACGACCGCAAGGUUGAAACUCAAAGGAAUUGACGGGGGCCCGCACAAGCGGUGGAGCAUGUGGUUUAAUUCCAAGCAACGCGAAGAACCUUACCAGGUCUUGACAUCCCGAUGCUAUUCUUAGAGAUAGGAAGUUACUUCGGUACAUCGGAGACAGGUGGUGCAUGGUUGUCGUCAGCUCGUGUCGUGAGAUGUUGGGUUAAGUCCCGCAACGAGCGCAACCCUUAUUGUUAGUUGCCAUCAUUAAGUUGGGCACUCUAGCGAGACUGCCGGUAAUAAACCGGAGGAAGGUGGGGAUGACGUCAAAUCAUCAUGCCCCUUAUGACCUGGGCUACACGCGUGCUACAAUGGUCGGUACAACGAGUUGCGAGCCGGUGACGGCAAGCUAAUCUCUGAAAGCCGAUCUCAGUUCGGAUUGGAGGCUGCAACUCGCCUCCAUGAAGUCGGAAUCGCUAGUAAUCGCGGAUCAGCACGCCGCGGUGAAUACGUUCCCGGGCCUUGUACACACCGCCCGUCACACCACGAGAGUUUGUAACACCCGAAGUCGGUGAGGUAACCUUUUAGG
This 614-nucleotide ribosomal RNA is filed under the name uncultured bacterium. RNAcentral describes it as "bacterial SSU rRNA". It matches the Rfam family "Bacterial small subunit ribosomal RNA", at positions 832 to 1446 of the family's 1533-position model. The record is from RNAcentral.